ACCUUUCCCUAACGUGUCGAUCAACCCAAUUGUCAACAUAUGAGCCUCAGCUUCCCAAAUCUUUUCUUCUACGGAAACCAUGGGGAUAUACUUCUUAAAUUUCGUGUCCAUCCGCAUUGCUAUAGCGGGAGAGAAUACAAGUAUGAUCGAUAGGGCUCUGGGGUAUUUCUAACAUGUCUUUCUGCCGGUUCUUGGUAUCUCAUCCUAUUCGGGCUGAUUUCUUCUGGUUCUACGUGGUUCAACACUCGUCGAGGAAAUUCGAGCCAUCUCUUCCAUAAACACACCUAGAUGCAUAAGAAAGGGAGAAAGAACAAACACUGGAAGAAAAAGGGACAAACAAUAUGAGUUAUAUUGAAUGGGAAAUAUAAAUAUUUAACCAAUAUAAGCGGCGCUUGUGUAUCAUUCAUCGUCAAAAAACACAUAAAUGCUAAGAAAAAUAUUGGAAAUUGAUUUGGCCCG
Molecule: small RNA, 459 nt
Filed under: Histoplasma capsulatum
Lineage: Eukaryota; Fungi; Ascomycota; Eurotiomycetes; Onygenales; Ajellomycetaceae
Also listed under: 1 other name
Description: hypothetical RNA
Source: RNAcentral